This 265-nucleotide ribosomal RNA is filed under the name uncultured bacterium. RNAcentral's name for it is "partial 16S ribosomal RNA". It matches the Rfam family "Bacterial small subunit ribosomal RNA", at positions 524 to 784 of the family's 1533-position model. The record is from RNAcentral.
UACGUAGGGUGCAAGCGUUAAUCGGAAUUACUGGGCGUAAAGCGUGCGCAGGCGGUUUUGUAAGUCUGAUGUGAAAAGCCCCCGGGCGUCAACCUGGGAAGUUGCAUUGGAGACUGCAAGGCUUGAAUCUGGCAGAGGGGGGUAGAAUUCCACGUGUAGCAGUGAAAUGCGUAGAGAUGUGGAGGAACACCGAUGGCGAAGGCAGCCCCCUGGGUCAAGAUUGACGCUCAUGCACGAAAGCGUGGGGAGCAAACAGGAUUAGAUA